Molecule: ribosomal RNA, 254 nt
Filed under: uncultured bacterium
Lineage: Bacteria
Description: partial 16S ribosomal RNA
Rfam family: Bacterial small subunit ribosomal RNA
Source: RNAcentral
CUUUCUUUGCUGGCGACCGGCGCACGGGUGAGUAACACGUAUCCAACCUGCCCUUUACUCGGGGAUAGCCUUUCGAAAGAAAGAUUAAUACCCGAUAGCAUAAUGAUUCCGCAUGGUUUCAUUAUUAAAGGAUUCCGGUAAAGGAUGGGGAUGCGUCCCAUUAGGUUGUUGGUGAGGUAACGGCUCACCAAGCCUUCGAUGGAUAGGGGUUCUGAGAGGAAGGUCCCCCACAUUGGAACUGAGACACGGUCCAA